AAGUCGUAACAAGGUUUCCGUAGGUGAGUAGUAUCGAGUAACCCCCCACGCACUUCGACGACAAAUGCUAACAUACAAUUUAGGUGAACCUGCGGAAGGAUCAUUAUCAGGGUUCAGGGCCCGCUUCGGCGGCCCAAACUCUCACCACUUGUUGUCCGCUCCAAACGUUGCCUUGGCGGCGCGGCCCCGGUCGCCCGUCAGGGGUUUUCCAACCGGAAUCCUGCAUGCGUAAUCGUCGGAGAAGCUCAUUAUAAAUGAACAAAACUUUCAACAACGGAUCUCUUGGUUCUG
RNAcentral lists this unclassified non-coding RNA (291 nucleotides) under air metagenome. RNAcentral's name for it is "partial contains small subunit ribosomal RNA, internal transcribed spacer 1, and 5.8S ribosomal RNA". The record is from RNAcentral.